Molecule: ribosomal RNA, 200 nt
Filed under: uncultured bacterium
Lineage: Bacteria
Description: partial 16S ribosomal RNA
Rfam family: Bacterial small subunit ribosomal RNA
Source: RNAcentral
AGAGUUUGAUCCUGGCUCAGAGCGAACGCUGGCGGCGUGCUUAACACAUGCAAGUCGAGUGCGCGCCCGUAGCAAUACGGGUGGCGCACGGCGCACGGGUGCGUAACACGUGGGUAACCUGCCCUUUGAUGGGGAAUAACCCCGCGAAAGCGGGGCUAAUACCGCAUAAGAUCCGCAAGGAUGAAAGCCGAAAGGCGUCG